AGAGCUUGCUCUCUUGGCGGCGAGUGGCGGCGGGUGAGUAAUAUAUCGGAACGUGCCCAGUAGCGGGAUAACUACUCGAAAGAGUGGCUAAUACCGCAUACGCCCUACGGGGAAAGGGGGGGAUCGCAAGACCUCUCACUAUUGGAGCGGCCGAUAUCGGAUUAGCUAGUUGGUGGGGUAAAGGCUCACCAAGGCAACGAUCCGUAGCUGGUUUGAGAGGACGACCAGCCACACUGGACUGAGACACGGCCCAGACUCCUACGGGAGGCAGCAGUGGGGAAUUUUGGACAAUGGGGGAAACCCUGAUCCAGCCAUCCCGCGUGUAUGAUGAAGGCCUUCGGGUUGUAAAGUACUUUUGGCAGAGAAGAAAAGGUAUCCCCUAAUACGGGAUACUGCUGACGGUAUCUGCAGAAUAAGCACCGGCUAACUACGUGCCAGCAGCCGCGGUAAUACGUAGGGUGCAAGCGUUAAUCGGAAUUACUGGGCGUAAAGCGUGUGUAGGCGGUUCGGAAAGAAAGAUGUGAAAUCCCAGGGCUCAACCUUGGAACUGCAUUUUUAACUGCCGAGCUAGAGUAUGUCAGAGGGGGGUAGAUUCCACGUGUAGCAGUGAAAUGCGUAGAUAUGUGGAGGAAUACCGAUGGCGAAGGCACCCCCCUGGGAUAAUACUGACGCUCAGACACGAAAGCGUGGGGAGCAAACAGGAUUAGAUACCUGGUUCCACGCCCUAAACGAUGUCAACUAGCUGUUGCGGCCGUUAGGCCCUUAGUAGCGCAGCUAAACAUGAUGGUUGACCGCCUGGGGAGUACGGUCGCAAGAUAAAACUCAUAGAUGAAUUGAGACG
RNAcentral lists this ribosomal RNA (841 nucleotides) under uncultured bacterium. RNAcentral describes it as "bacterial SSU rRNA". It matches the Rfam family "Bacterial small subunit ribosomal RNA", at positions 75 to 917 of the family's 1533-position model. The record is from RNAcentral.